CGCAUAGCUGGCUCUAAGACCUGGGUGUGGGCCAGCCCCAGGCCUGCCCUCUCCCUGCCAACGGGGGUCUCAGGAGAAACCCACUCCCUGGCACCGGGGGCCUCUCAGGGCGUGUAAGCCAUCCUCGAGGCAUCCUUGCAAUGAUCACCGGGAAAAGGGACAGUCAGAGCUAAAGAUGGAGCUGGAAGGCUUGGAGAAAACUGACAGAGGCAUCCACAAAAGGGAUGUACAGGACUAGGACUGGAGAGAUGUGGAGCCCAGUUCAGAGAAGAGACCCAUCCCUGGUUCCACAGGGAGCUUGGAGGAGGACCAACAGGAUCUCCUGCGUCCCAGGGAAGGUGCUCCGGGGCUCACAGAGAGGACAGACACUUGACUUCUCUUGUUUCCC
RNAcentral lists this long non-coding RNA (388 nucleotides) under Camelus dromedarius (Arabian camel). Its description in RNAcentral is "lncRNA (ENSCDRG00005011901.1)". Lineage: Eukaryota; Metazoa; Chordata; Mammalia; Artiodactyla; Camelidae. The record is from RNAcentral.